RNAcentral lists this ribosomal RNA (103 nucleotides) under Pteropus alecto (black flying fox). Lineage: Eukaryota; Metazoa; Chordata; Mammalia; Chiroptera; Pteropodidae. The record is from RNAcentral.
GUCUAUGGCCAUGCUACCCUGAAUAAGCCUGGAAGCUAAGCAGGGUCGGGCCUGGUUAGUACUUGGAUGGGAGACUACCUAGGAAGGCCAAGUGCUGUAGGCA